This 253-nucleotide ribosomal RNA is filed under the name uncultured bacterium. Its description in RNAcentral is "partial 16S ribosomal RNA". It matches the Rfam family "Bacterial small subunit ribosomal RNA", at positions 524 to 776 of the family's 1533-position model. The record is from RNAcentral.
UACAGAGGUGGCAAGCGUUGUUCGGAAUUACUGGGCGUAAAGGGCGCGUAGGCGGCGGGGUAAGUCGGGUGUGAAAUCUCAGGGCUCAACCCUGAAACUGCACUCGAUACUGCUCUGCUUGAGGACUGGAGAGGAGACUGGAAUUCACGGUGUAGCAGUGAAAUGCGUAGAGAUCGUGAGGAAGACCAGUGGCGAAGGCGGGUCUCUGGACAGUUCCUGACGCUGAGGCGCGAAGGCCAGGGGAGCAAACGGG